CCUGUCCCCCCAUCCUUCUACAGGUCUCUGUCUCUCAUGUUCCUAUGGCUGAUGGUCUUCACGCCAUGUCCUGGGGUCUCUGAGGUCUUCUGGUGUCACACUGGUGACUUCUAGAGAAAGGAUGGAAGACUGAGUCCCCAAAGUGAACGCCAGUGCACCCCAAAUGCUGAGCCCCAGGGUUCAGGCAUUUGGGGCCUUUUCCAGCUAUGCUGAGCUGAUGGCUUGGGCACAGCCUGGGGUGUGAUAUUGCAGGACCUUCUGAGCAACCCCCGCCUGGAGUCCAGAUCCUGGAGAGCAGGACAGGGAGCCCUCCUACAAGGCAAUCAAUGCUGCCUGGGAUGGUGGGAGCUGACAGGAGUCUCAAGCCUACAUCCCUGCCAAAGGCUGUGUGCUGUGAAGUUCAGGAGAAAAGAAACCAAACUAGGGAACGCUUGUUUUACUGGCCACCAUGAAUUCAGCAUCUUUGCUCUACUAUGCACUUCUGCCAUGAUGUUUCUGCCUUGGAGCCAAGCAACCAUGGACUGAAU
Fukomys damarensis (Damara mole-rat) is the source of this 527-nucleotide long non-coding RNA. RefSeq lists it as uncharacterized. The transcript is spliced from 4 exons. Lineage: Eukaryota; Metazoa; Chordata; Mammalia; Rodentia; Bathyergidae. The record is from RefSeq and is a predicted model, not a curated record.